GACGAACGCUGGCGGCGUGCUUAACACAUGCAAGUCGAACGGUGAAGCGCCUUCCUUUUUGGUGGGUGUGGAUGAGCGGCGAACGGGUGAGUAAUACGUGAGUAACCUGCCCCCUUCUUCUGGAUAACCGCAUGAAAGUGUGGCUAAUACGGGAUAUUCUGGGUCUGUCGCAUGAUGGGUCUGGGAAAGAUAUUGUUUCGGUGGGGGAUGGGCUCGCGGCCUAUCAGCUUGUUGGUGGGGUGAUGGCCUACCAAGGCGGUGACGGGUAGCCGGCCUGAGAGGGUGGACGGUCACACUGGGACUGAGACACGGCCCAGACUCCUACGGGAGGCAGCAGUGGGGAAUAUUGCACAAUGGGCGCAAGCCUGAUGCAGCGACGCCGCGUGAGGGAUGGAGGCCUUCGGGUUGUGAACCUCUUUCGCCAGUGAAGCAGGCCUGCCUCGUUUGUGGGUGGGUUGACGGUAGCUGGAUAAGAAGCGCCGGCUAACUACGUG
Molecule: ribosomal RNA, 494 nt
Filed under: uncultured bacterium
Lineage: Bacteria
Description: partial 16S ribosomal RNA
Rfam family: Bacterial small subunit ribosomal RNA
Source: RNAcentral